This 599-nucleotide ribosomal RNA is filed under the name uncultured bacterium. RNAcentral's name for it is "bacterial SSU rRNA". It matches the Rfam family "Bacterial small subunit ribosomal RNA", at positions 308 to 917 of the family's 1533-position model. The record is from RNAcentral.
CCACACUGGGACUGAGAUACGGCCCAGACUCCUACGGGAGGCAGCAGUGGGGAAUAUUGCGCAAUGGGCGAAAGCCUGACGCAGCAACGCCGCGUGCGGGAUGACGGCCUUCGGGUUGUAAACCGCUUUCAGCAGGGACGAAGGGUUUCUGACGGUACCUGCAGAAGAAGCACCGGCUAACUACGUGCCAGCAGCCGCGGUGAUACGUAGGGUGCGAGCGUUGUCCGGAAUUAUUGGGCGUAAAGAGCUUGUAGGCGGUCCGUUGCGUCGGAAGUGAAAACUCAGGGCUUAACCCUGAGCCUGCUUUCGAUACGGGCGGACUUGAGGGAUGUAGGGGAGAACGGAAUUCCUGGUGGAGCGGUGGAAUGCGCAGAUGUCAGGAGGAACACCAGUGGCGAAGGCGGUUCUCUGGACAUUUCCUGACGCUGAGAAGCGAAAGCGUGGGGAGCAAACAGGCUUAGAUACCCUGGUAGUCCACGCCGUAAACGGUGGGCACUAGGUGUGGGAUCCAUUCCACGGAUUCCGUGCCGAAGCUAACGCAUUAAGUGCCCCGCCUGGGGAGUACGGCCGCAAGGCUAAAACUCAAAUGAAUUGACGGA